Molecule: ribosomal RNA, 155 nt
Filed under: Parnassia wightiana
Lineage: Eukaryota; Viridiplantae; Streptophyta; Magnoliopsida; Celastrales; Celastraceae
Description: 5.8S ribosomal RNA
Rfam family: 5.8S ribosomal RNA
About the family: 5.8S ribosomal RNA (5.8S rRNA) is a component of the large subunit of the eukaryotic ribosome. It is transcribed by RNA polymerase I as part of the 45S precursor that also contains 18S and 28S rRNA. Functionally, it is thought that 5.8S rRNA may be involved in ribosome translocation.
Source: RNAcentral
ACUCUCGGCAACGGAUAUCUUGGCUCUUGCAUCGAUGAAGAACGUAGCAAAAUGCGAUAGCUGGUGUGAAUUGCAGAAUCCCGUGAACCAUCGAGUCUUUGAACGCAAGUUGCGCCUGAAGCCGUCAGGCCAAGGGCACGCCUGCCUGGGUGUCA